GAUGAACGCUGGCGGCGUGCCUAAUACAUGCAAGUCGAGCGAACGGACGAGAAGCUUGCUUCUCUGAUGUUAGCGGCGGACGGGUGAGUAACACGUGGAUAACCUACCUAUAAGACUGGGAUAACUUCGGGAAACCGGAGCUAAUACCGGAUGAUAUUUUGAACCGCAUGGUUCAAAAGUGAAAGACGGUCUUGCUGUCACUUAUAGAUGGAUCCGCGCUGCAUUAGCUAGUUGGUAAGGUAACGGCUUACCAAGGCAACGAUGCAUAGCCGACCUGAGAGGGUGAUCGGCCACACUGGAACUGAGACACGGUCCAGACUCCUACGGGAGGCAGCAGUAGGGAAUCUUCCGCCAUGGGCGAAAGCCUGACGGAGCAACGCCGCGUGAGUGAUGAGGGUCUUCGGAUCGUAAAACUCUGUUAUUAGGGAAGAACAUAUGUGUAAGUAACUGUGCACAUCUUGACGGUACCUAAUCAGAAAGCCACGGCUAACUACGUG
This 497-nucleotide ribosomal RNA is filed under the name uncultured bacterium. RNAcentral's name for it is "partial 16S ribosomal RNA". It matches the Rfam family "Bacterial small subunit ribosomal RNA", at positions 28 to 507 of the family's 1533-position model. The record is from RNAcentral.